AACUCAUCAAAACAGACUGCAACGCCACGGCCAGCGCUGAACGUUUGCCGACGAUGUUCGGCCGGCGCAAAAUGAUCCGCCAUUAAACGUCCGUUGGUUAGCCACUCGCUAGCUGUGCUAGCUUACCCCUCCAUUUGUUAGCCUAGCUGCAGGUAAUAAUGGACAGAUAUCAGGUUGGUAAGACACCGGAAUGCAAAGAAAGUCGUUUUUUACUGUUCAAGACACGCCGUCAUGACGGAGGAGCUGAAAGUUAACGGCAGGAGACGAGACGUGAUGCAGCAGCGUUUUGAAGGAACAACAGAGAGGCGUGUUUUUUGUUUUCCCCAGUGGUGUUCUAACAAUCUAACCAGUUCACCACCAGUAAAAAUGAAAAGCAGGAUAUGGGACCAAGAGAGAUGGAUGUAAAGAAGAAAGGAGGGGCGCGAAGUACCGAGGGAAUAGAUGGAGAGGAGAGGGAGGCUGCGAUGGAGGAGGCUGAUGUCAUCGAUUCAAAGCAAGAAGAAAAGAGUGGAGAAAGGGAACGAGCCAGGAGACUGAAGUGAAAAGAUGCUGAGAUAAAGGAGAAGCGGAGAUGGAGACAGGAAUGUGAGGAGGAGAAACCGAAGGGAUAAAACAGAGGGAUAAAAGACGGGAAGACGGGGAAACACCUGCAGAGUUGGCUGCAGACGGAGGGAUUGUGGAAAGCGGGAAGCAGCUUCAGUCACCAAAGCAAACCAGCACAGACUGAAUUAAGCGUGUCUCCCUGGAGAGUGUGUGCCUAACCUGGGAGGGUGUGUGUUGUCCCG
This is a long non-coding RNA of Poeciliopsis prolifica (blackstripe livebearer), 785 nucleotides long. RefSeq lists it as uncharacterized. The record is from RefSeq and is a predicted model, not a curated record. The transcript has 4 exons. NCBI's taxonomy places the organism in Eukaryota, Metazoa, Chordata, Actinopteri, Cyprinodontiformes, Poeciliidae.